AUUGAACGCUGGCGGCAUGCCUUACACAUGCAAGUCGAACGGCAGCACGGGAGCAAUCCUGGUGGCGAGUGGCGAACGGGUGAGUAAUAUAUCGGAACGUGCCCGGUCGUGGGGAUAACGUAGCGAAAGCUACGUUAAUACCGCAUACGAUCUACGGAUGAAAGCGGGGGAUACGCGAAGACCUCGACGCGAUUGGAGCCCCCCCGGNGAUAUCAGAUUAGGUAGUUGGUGAGGUAAAGGCUCAACCAAGCCAACGAUCUGUAGCUGGUCUGAGAGGACGACCAGCC
RNAcentral lists this ribosomal RNA (287 nucleotides) under uncultured bacterium. RNAcentral describes it as "partial 16S ribosomal RNA". It matches the Rfam family "Bacterial small subunit ribosomal RNA", at positions 30 to 309 of the family's 1533-position model. The record is from RNAcentral.